ACUCUCCCUCAGGAAUUUCACUCCACAGUGGUCACCAGAUCUCCUAGUGGGGCCGAACAAGAGAUUUAAUUGGAACAUUGCACCUCCGAGCAAAUUGAACUCCGUAUCGGCAAUUCCGAUCCCAGCCUGCACAAGGUCUCCACCAUGCACAUAGGAUCGCAGCUGCAAAUAGACUAUCCUCCAACAAUUUAUAGUUAUACCGUAUACAUCCAAACUUCUCCAUUGGUUAGAUUUACCUGCAAAUCCAUAUUUGGUCUAUCUGUAAGCAUGAUCUGUCUACGGAUCUAUUAGUAAUUUGACUGAAAGAGAUUUCUCUAAAAAAGGAGUUGUGCUGCUCCUGGAAUGAGUUACGUGCUUUUUAUUGGGAUUGCUGGUCGUGGUGGUUUCCUUUUGGGACAAAGCUAUUCACAUCCCAUCUGAAAUUGACAUACUCAGGUAUUAAAUGUCACUAGAUUCUGCUUCAUGCUUCCAUUUUUCCUUGGGACAAAAAAGGUACAUUGAUGCAGUUUGAUUAAGCAGAGUAAUCUGACUUCAACAAUAUUUUUCCUCUAUCAUUGUCCGACGACAAAUGUUUUUGUCGCUAUCAUUGUCCUCCAAGCAAAUUUGUGCUGAUACAUUAUCCCAGUGUCAACACCUGCCUAAGACAAAACUACAGAAUGUUGGUCGAGAUUUGGGCAGAGCGGUCGAGUCACACUGAAAGACUAUGUAGCUCAAAAGUAUAAUGAGCAUCAGUCACGUAGCUUCACAGAGCCAUUGCCAAUUAGCAAGCAUCAUUUCCACUGCACAGCACUACUACAGUCAGGGAGUUGUUGCCGAUUACAAGCUACAGUAAGCAAUCACAGUAGGAGAUGCUGACAUCCAUAGACGCCGUAAAGAACGCCGCAGGUAUUCUUGUAGAAAUACUGGAUCUGGAGCAAGUCCCUUUGGCCGCUGAAGACAUCUCAAACUAAGCAGGGCGUCAGAGGCAGCCUGGUGCCCCUUCCCAGUCCUCUUCGCUCCAAGUUCUGUAGCAACCGCAUAAAGCUUUCCCGGAACUCUCUCCUUGUUGAUACACUUGCCGUACUUUGAGAACGACUUGCAGUCAAAUGAUGAAGGGAAAUACUCUACGACUUGCAACAGGAACUGGAGUCGUGUUUCUGGCAAUGGAUCCUUCGUUAGGAGAUUUAUAAUGAGUCCAAAAUCUUGAUAACCCAUAAAGGUAACCCAGGUGACAUUCUUGUUCUGCAGGAGACCGGACUCACGUAACAUGUUCUUGAACUCCGAGGCUGGAAGUCCCUUUGUCGCAUGCUCCUCUAAUAUCAGUGCACUCUCCCUCAGGAAUUUCACUCCACAGUGGUCACCAGAUCUCCUAGUGGGGCCGAACAAGAGAUUUAAUUGGAACAUUGCACCUCCGAGCAAAUUGAACUCCGUAUCAGCAAUUCCGAUCCCAGCCUGCACAAGGUCUCCACCAUGCACAUAGGAUCGCAGCUGCAAAUAGACUAUCCUCCAACAAUUUAUAGUUAUACCGUAUACAUCCAAACUUCUCCAUUGGUUAGAUUUACCUGCAAAUCCAUAUUUGGUCUAUCUGUAAGCAUGAUCUGUCUACGGAUCUAUUAGUAAUUUGACUGAAAGAGAUUUCUCUAAAAAAGGAGUUGUGCUGCUCCUGGAAUGAGUUACGUGCUUUUUAUUGGGAUUGCUGGUCGUGGUGGUUUCCUUUUGGGACAAAGCUAUUCACAUCCCAUCUGAAAUUGACAUACUCAGGUAUUAAAUGUCACUAGAUUCUGCUUCAUGCUUCCAUUUUUCCUUGGGACAAAAAAGGUACAUUGAUGCAGUUUGAUUAAGCAGAGUAAUCUGACUUCAACAAUAUUUUUCCUCUAUCAUUGUCCGACGACAAAUGUUUUUGUCGCUAUCAUUGUCCUCCAAGCAAAUUUGUGCUGAUACAUUAUCCCAGUGUCAACACCUGCCUAAGACAAAACUACAGAAUGUUGGUCGAGAUUUGGGCAGAGCGGUCGAGUCACACUGAAAGAGUAUGUAGCUCAAAAGUAUAAUGAGCAUCAGUCACGUAGCUUCACAGAGCCAUUGCCAAUUAGCAAGCAUCAUUUCUACUGCACGGGACUACUACAGUCAGGGAGUUGUUGCCGAUUACGAGCUACAGUAAGCAAUCACAGUAGGAGAUGCUGACAUCCAUAGACGCCGUAAAGAACGCCGCAGGUAUUCUUGUAGAAAUACUGGAUCUGGAGCAAUUCCCUUUGGCCGCUGAAGACAUCUCAAACUAAGCAGGGCGUCAGAGGCAGCCUGGUGCCCCUUCCCAGUCCUCUUCGCUCCAAGUUCUGUAGCAACCGCAUAAAGCUUUCCCGGAACUCUCUCCUUGUUGAUACACUUGCCGUACUUUGAGAACGACUUGCAGUCAAAUGAUGAAGGGAAAUACUCUACGACUUGCUACAGGAACUGGAGUCGUGUUUCUGGCAAUGGAUCCUUCGUUAGGAGAUUUAUAAUGAGUCCAAAAUCUUGAUAACCCAUAAAGGUAACCCAGGUGACAUUCUUGUUCUGCAGGAGACCGGACUCACGUAACAUGUUCUUGAACUCCGAGGCUGGAAGUCCCUUUGUCGCAUGCUCCACUAAUAUCAGUUCACUCUCCCUCAGGAAUUUCACUCCACAGUGGUCACCAGAUCUCCUAGUGGGGCCGAACAAGAGAGUUAAUUGGAACAUUGCACCUCCGAGCAAAUUGAACUCCGUAUCGGCAAUAGAUCCCAGCCUGCACAAGAUCUCCACCAUGCACAUAGGAUCGCAGCUGCAAAUAGACUAUCCUCCAACAAUUUAUAGUUAUACCGUAUACAUCCAAACAUCUCCAUUGGUUAGAUUUACCUGCAAAUCCAUAUUUGGUCUAUCUGUAAGUAUGAUCUGUCUACGGAUCUAUUAGUAAUUUGACUGAAAGAGAUUUCUCUAAAAAAAGAGUUGUGCUGCUCCUGGAAUGAGUUACGUGCUUUUUAUUAGGAUUGCUGGUCGUGGUGGUUUCCUUUUGGGACAAAGCUAUUCACAUCCCAUCUGAAAUUGACAUACUCAGGUAUUAAAUGUCACUAGAUUUUGCUUCAUGCUUCCAUUUUUCCUUUGGGACAAAAAAGGUACAUUGAUGCAGUUUGAUUAAGCAGAGUAAUCUGACUUCAACAAUAUUUUUCCUCUAUCAUUGUCCGACGACAAAUGUUUUUGUCGCUAUCAUUGUUCUCCAAGCAAAUUUGUGCCGAUACAUUAUCCAGUUGUCAACACCUGCCUAAGAUAAAACUACAGAAUGUUGGUCGAGAUUUGGGCAGAGCGGUCGAGCCACACUGAAAGAGUAUGUAGCUCAAAAGUAUAAUGAGCAUCAGUCACGUAGCUUCACAGAGCCAUUGCCAAUUAGCAAGCAUCAUUUCCACUGCACAGGACUACUACAGUCAGGGAGUUGUUGCCGAUUACGAGCUACAGUAAGCAAUAGCUUCACAGAGCCAUUGCCAAUUAGCAAGCAUCAUUUCCACUGCACAGGACUACUACAGUCAGGGAGUUGUUGCCGAUUACGAGCUACAGUAAGCAAUCACAGUAGGAGAUGCUGACAUCCAUAGACGCCGUAAAGAACGCCGCAGGUAUUCUUGUAGAAAUACUGGAUCUGGAGCAAGUCCCUUUGGCCGCUGAAGACAUCUCAAACUAAGCAGGGCGUCAGAGGCAGCCUGGUGCCCCUUCCCAGUCCUCUUCGCUCCAAGUUCUGUAGCAACCGCAUCAAUCUUUCCCGGAACUAUCUCCUUGUUGAUACACUUGCCGUACUUUGAGAACGACUUGCAGUCAAAUGAUGAAGGGAAAUACUCUACGACUUGCAACAGGAACUGGAGUCGUGUUUCUGGCAAUGGAUCCUUCGUUAGGAGAUUUAUCAUGAGUUCAAAAUCUUGAUAACCCACAAAGGUAACCCAGGUGACAUUCUUGUUCUGCAGGAGACCGGACUCACGUAACAUGUUCUUGAACUCCGAGGCUGGAAGUCCCUUUGUCGCAUGCUCCUCUAAUAUCAGUGCACUCUCCCUCAGGAAUUUCACUCCACAGUGGUCACCAGAUCUCCUAGUGGGGCCGAACAAGAGAUUUAAUUGGAACAUUGCACCUCCGAGCAAAUUGAACUCCGUAUCAGCAAUUCCGAUCCCAGCCUGCACAAGGUCUCCACCAUGCACAUAGGAUCGCAGCUGCAAAUAGACUAUCCUCCAACAAUUUAUAGUUAUACCGUAUACAUCCAAACUUCUCCAUUGGUUAGAUUUACCUGC
Molecule: long non-coding RNA, 4253 nt
Filed under: Setaria italica (foxtail millet)
Lineage: Eukaryota; Viridiplantae; Streptophyta; Magnoliopsida; Poales; Poaceae
Description: long non-coding RNA (SITA_LNC001929)
Source: RNAcentral